AGUAAUGAUUCUCACUGUGGAGUCAUUUGAUUAUUAAGACCCGUUGGCAUAAGAUUCCAUCCUCUGACUAUAAAAAUCCUGGAAGAAAACCUAGGAAAUAUUCGUCUGGACAUUGCACUUGGCAAUGAAUUUAUGGGCGCUUUGGAAUCCUGCAAAUAUAAUAAUGAUAAUUAAACAAAACACUCAGAGAAACUGCCAACCCUAGGAUGAAGUAUAUUGUUACUGUGCUUUGGGAUUAAAAUAAGUAACUACAGUUUAUAGAACUUGUAUACUGAUACACAGACGCUAAAAAGGGAAAGUGUUUAGAUGAGAAGCUCUGCUAUGCAAUCAAGAAUCUCAGCCACUCAUUUCUGUAGGGGCUGCAGGAGCUCCCUGUAAAGAGAGGUUAUGGAGUCUGUAGCUUCAGGCAACCACUGAUCCACUUCCAGUCACUAUCCAUGAGUUUUUAUUUCCAAAUACAUGAAAUCAUAUGCCUCUGAUAAACCACCAUUCUGCUCUUAACUUCUAUGAGUGCACAUUUUUGGAUUUCACAUAUUUGAAGGCAAUUUUUUAAAGCUCUCCACAUGUGGUUUACUGUGGACCAAACACUGGCAGCUUCAGGCUUACAAUCUGCUGACAAACCCUUCUUAGUUCCUUCAAUUGAAGAAUGUGAGCAUGCACUGCUCAUGUGCCUCGCAAGCACGCAAACCACUCAGGAGAAGGACAGUGGCCACUCAGGUCAUCAGGUGAACUUGUGACGGGGCCAUCAAGAGGCUGCACGUGAGCUCCAGAACAUGAAAUUCCCACUAUCAACCUAUUUUCCAUUUCCACCCAAUGCCCCGCCCCUGCUCCAAAUCAAGGUCUCCGCCUCUUAGAAAUGCUUGAUUUUCAGUAUUGCUAAACAGGGAUCAAAGAAAACAAACUGAACAAAGAAACAAAUAAAGCCUUUAACACCGUGAGCAAAGACACAGCACCUACGCCUUCCCCGGGCCCCGCAACAGCUCCAGAGCUGCACAGCUGCUCCCAGAGCCUGAGCAUGGACCUGAGCUCUGGCUCAUGGAUCUCACCAAUGCAUUUCUUCCCUCUGCGUCAAAAAAGCAUCCAGAAAUUGGAUUCAUUUACUUGGGACAUAAAAUAAUGUAUACCUACAGUUUUGUCCCAGAACUGUGUAAACCAGCAUGCUGUCUGCCAUAAUACAGUCCUCCCCCUGCAUCAGGAGCACAGAUAGGGGAAACCGGCGGUGCUGGAGGCCUGGGAGUCACAGGUGCUUGGAGGGGAGAGAAAAGCACCACAGAGAGCCAGGCCUUGCCUACAAAUCACAUUUUUAGGGGUCUAGUGGUCUGUGCAGGCUGGGAGAUGAUCUCUAAAGGAAAGGCAAGAAAUAUUGCCCCACAUCUCCCACCACCAAACAGAAAGUGCAGGUGGUCAGCCCCAGGGCUCACCUGCCCUUUGCCAGGGUCAUGAGCUAGGCCCAGGCUGCGCGCUCCACAAAACCAUCAAGGGGACUGCCUGCCAGGCUGGGACAACUGCACCAGGCCCUGACAUCCUGGGAAGAACAGGGUUGCAUUUAACAGAAACAACUAAACCUGCAGGGAUGAGCUUGCCUUUCCCCGGGGCCACGGGAUGGUUUAUAGAAAGUUCUGCCCAUCAGGACGAGACCUCACAUGACACCAUCAGAGGAACUGGUACCAUGCCACAGAGGGAGGAAGACGGCACAUGCCAUAGGUCCGCUGGUCACAGCACACACACGCUCCUGGGAACUUCAGAGCCAGCAGUGUGGCUCAGGUGCCAGGUCAGGAUGUGGGAGGACACAGUGUCUGGGUGAAUCUGUCACCUUUGCUAGCUGCCUUGUCCCACCAGGUAGAAGAUGUGGCAAUGGGAGCACAGCAGUAGGAAGCCCAGUGUCCCCCAACCUUCCACCUCACACCCAGGACCUCUGAGGUGCAUCUAUAUCCUGCACAUCUAGGCUCUGAAAAGCAGGAGGUCCUGGUUUCCAGAGCUGUGGGGCUUCUAGACAGGACAGAGCCAGGUUCUCUGAAAAAAACAAGCUCUGGGUGCUGCUUUGUUCUCAGGCUGCUCCUCCAUGGGACCUGCGGGCAGAAAGAUGUGUACCACCUGGACCAUGGUGUCAGCAGGAGCAGGGCUGUGCUGCCUGGGGAAGAAGUGGCUCUACGCAAGCGCCUCUCAGUACACAGCAUUUGAUGGUACCUGGACAAGUGCGGGAGCCCUAGACCAAGGACUCAGUGGUGAGCAAGACUCAGGACCCCUUAGGGGCGAGGGCCUGGAUUACACCACCAGGGGGUCACCUGGACCCUCAGCAGAAGGUGAAGGGGUGAUCAUUACCUUUACGACCCUGAAAUGGGUGGCAGCCACAGGACACAGGGUUGAUUGAACCCACCUUGUGUAACUAUUGCCCAGGAAAAGGCCCAGAAUUUAAUAAAGACGAGGCCCCUGGCAGUGCAGUGUUGGAUGGGGCGCACCCCCUGGGGCACCCCUGACCCUCCCCCAGGGCCUUGGCUGUGAGCUUUGAUUAUAGACACACGUAUGCCAUGGCCCCUUCAGACUGCUCCCUUCACCUUUGAAAAACCAGACAGGAUGCUUCUGUUCCUGGAAACAUGAAUGCCCUUCAUGUGUUUUUUUCUUUGACUAGAAACUCAACUUCAACCAAAAUAUAGACUCCCACACAAUAAUAAUGGGAGUCUUUAACACCCCACUGUGAACAUUAGGCAGAUCAAUGAGUCAGAAAGUUAACAAGGAUAUCCAGGAAUUGAACUCAGCUCUGCACCAAGCAGACCUAAUAGACAUCUACAGAACUCUCCACCAAAAUCAACAGAAUAUACAUUUUUUUCAGCACCACACCACACCUAUUCCAAAACUGACCACAUAGUUGGAAGUAAAGCACUCCUCAGCAAAUGUAAAAGAAGAGAAACUAUAACAAACUGUCUCUCAGACCACAGUGCAAUCAAAUUAGAACUCAAGAUUAAGAAACUCACUCAAAACCGCUCAACUACAUGGAAACCGAACAACCUGCUCCUCAAUGACUACUGGGCACAUAACGAAACGAAGACAGAAAUAAAGAUGUUCUUUGAAACCAAUGAGAACAAAGACACAACAUACCAGAAUCUCUGGGACACAUUUAAAGCAGUGUGUAGAGGGAAAUUUAUAGCACUAAAUGCCCACAAGAGAAAGCAGGAAAGAUCUAAAAUUGACACCCUAACAUCACAAUUAAAAGAACUAGAGAAGCAAGAGCAAACACAUUCAAAAGCUAGCAGAAGGCAAGAAAUAAGUAAGAUCAGAGCAGAACUGAAGGAAAUAGAGACACAAAAAACCCUUCAAAAAAAUCAAUGAUUCCAGGAGCUGGUUUUUUGAAAAGGUCAACAAUAUUGAUAGACCGCUAGCAAGAC
Pan troglodytes (chimpanzee) is the source of this 3383-nucleotide long non-coding RNA. RefSeq lists it as uncharacterized. The record is from RefSeq and is a predicted model, not a curated record. The transcript is spliced from 5 exons. NCBI's taxonomy places the organism in Eukaryota, Metazoa, Chordata, Mammalia, Primates, Hominidae.